UACGUAGGGGGCUAGCGUUGUCCGGAAUCAUUGGGCGUAAAGCGUGCGUAGGCGGUUUGUUAAGUCUGUCGUGAAAGCCCCGGGCUCAACCUGGGAAUGGCGAUGGAUACUGGCGAGCUAGAGUACGGUAGAGGAGAGUGGAAUUCCCGGUGUAGCAGUGAAAUGCGUAGAGAUCGGGAGGAACAUCAGUUGCGAAGGCGGCUCUCUGGACCAGUACUGACGCUGAGGCACGAAAGCGUGGGGAGCAAACAGG
Molecule: ribosomal RNA, 253 nt
Filed under: uncultured bacterium
Lineage: Bacteria
Description: partial 16S ribosomal RNA
Rfam family: Bacterial small subunit ribosomal RNA
Source: RNAcentral